Jaculus jaculus (lesser Egyptian jerboa) is the source of this 105-nucleotide small nuclear RNA. Lineage: Eukaryota; Metazoa; Chordata; Mammalia; Rodentia; Dipodidae. The record is from Ensembl.
GUGCUUACUUCAGCAGCAUGUAUACUAAAAUUGGAGGGAUAUAGAGAUUAACAUGGCCCUUUGUGCAAGGAUGACACACAAAUUCACGAAGCAUUCCAUAUUAGA